RNAcentral lists this transfer RNA (77 nucleotides) under Phyllymenia taiwanensis. RNAcentral describes it as "Grateloupia taiwanensis tRNA-Ala". It matches the Rfam family "tRNA". From Rfam's summary of the family: Transfer RNA (tRNA) molecules are approximately 80 nucleotides in length. Their secondary structure includes four short double-helical elements and three loops (D, anti-codon, and T loops). Further hydrogen bonds mediate the characteristic L-shaped molecular structure. tRNAs have two regions of fundamental functional importance: the anti-codon, which is responsible for specific mRNA codon recognition, and the 3' end, to which the tRNAs corresponding amino acid is attached (by aminoacyl-tRNA synthetases). tRNAs cope with the degeneracy of the genetic code in two manners: having more than one tRNA (with a specific anti-codon) for a particular amino acid; and 'wobble' base-pairing, i.e. permitting non-standard base-pairing at the 3rd anti-codon position. The record is from RNAcentral. Lineage: Eukaryota; Rhodophyta; Florideophyceae; Halymeniales; Halymeniaceae.
UGGGAAUAUAGUUUAAUUUCGGUAAAACAUAUGUUUUGCAUACAUAAGAUUAUUGGUUCAAACCCGAUUAUUUCCAA